This 292-nucleotide unclassified non-coding RNA is filed under the name uncultured fungus. RNAcentral describes it as "sequence contains ITS1". Lineage: Eukaryota; Fungi. The record is from RNAcentral.
GGACUACCCGGGUAUCUAAUCCUGUUUGCUACCCACGCUUUCGUGCCUCAGCGUCAGUCACGGUCCAGCAAGCCGUCUGCACCACGGGUGUUCCUCCAGAUAUCUACGCAUUUCACCGCUACACCUGGAAUUCCGCUUGCCUCUCCCGCACUCCAGCGAACCAGUUUCCGGCGCACCCUCCCGGUUGAGCCGGGAGAUUUCACACCAGACUUGGUCCACCGCCUACGCACGCUUUACGCCCAGUAACUCCGAACAACGCUCGCUGCCUACGUAUUACCGCGGCUGCUGACAC